This 2516-nucleotide long non-coding RNA is filed under the name Homo sapiens (human). Its description in RNAcentral is "non-protein coding lnc-RC3H1-1:9". The record is from RNAcentral. Lineage: Eukaryota; Metazoa; Chordata; Mammalia; Primates; Hominidae.
CGUCGCUGCGUGGCCGCGGUUGCGCCGGGAGCGGAGGAGUGAGGUCCUGACAGAACCAGAGCUGUUAGAGCAGGGACGCGCGAAAGGCGGGAGUACGGGCGGCGCUGGAGAACCUCCGCGGCGGAGGGGCCUGGGGGUGGGACCGCGCCCGCGAGCCCGCCCUGACCGGGGUGUCUGUGUGCUUGUGAAGCGCUCCCUUGUUAGUUCCUUCUGUGAGACUCGGGGGAGACUGAAGAGGGAAAUCACCUGCGGGGAAUGAACAGGAAAGCAAUAAGAAGAUUUGGAAAAGAGGCACUGGCUACUGGAGGAAGGGAGAAAUCACCGAGAGAGCGAAAGAUGUAACAGAAACAGGCUCUUGUUCUGUCACCCAUACUUGGAGUGCAGUGGUACAAUGAUAGCUCACUGCAGCCUCAAACUCCUGGUCUCAAGCAAUCCUCUCACCUCAGCCUCCCAGAUGCAGUGACUCAUGCCUAUAAUCCCAGUACUUUGGAAGGUCAAGGCACAAGGAUCCAUUGAGGCCAGGAGUCCAAGACCAGCCUGCACAAUGUAGCAAGACUCCUUCUCUACAAAAAAAUAAAUAAAAAUUAGCCAGGCAUGGUGGUGCACUCCUGUAGUCCCAGCUACUCAAGAGGCUGAUGUAGAGAAUCGCAUUAUCCCAGAGGUCAAGGCUGCAGUGAGCCGUGAUCAUGCCUCUGCACUCCAGCCUGGACGAUAGAGCAAGACUUUAUCUCAAAAAACAAAAAUUUAAAAAGAUAUCAGGUAGCUCAUAGAAUUGUUGAGAGGGCUGUAAAACCAGGCUUGAACUUAAACAGCAACGAUAAACCACCCACAGAACGGACAUGAUGAAGAAGUUGGCAAAUGUUACCAACUGUCCUGGUUUUUUUGGUGACUGUAGUUUCCAAGGAUUCAGAUCCUUCCAUGCCAAAAUCUGAAAAAUGCUGGGCAAAGUAUGACUGACAAUGUGGUAAUCUUACAGCUAGCACUAGAGACAUCAAGCACUAGACAACACAAUUUGCCCUUUGGCCACUUAUACAAUGGGAACUCACGCUUGCAGUAACCUCUAUUGCCACUAGGAGAGAGAAACACAGAAGGAGGAAGGGAGAAGGGAGAGAGAGGAAAAAAACUGUUGCUUGUCUCCUUAGCUGUGAGUCAAAGGUCUAACACAGAUGUCUGGCUGAAAAGCCUAGGUCACAUGCCUGCACCCCAGAGAAAGUAUGUGACAUCUUCUGCUUCCAUUAUGGGAAACAGCCUUUGCUUGUCACGAAGAUUUACAUGGUGAGACAUAUCCUAAAUAUAGGGAAGCUGUUGAAGUGGCCCAAAUAAUGACCAAUUUCUACUAAUUUGUACUAAUAUCCAAAUUACUUUUAAUUAUCUAAUAUUACUUAGAUACAGUGAGGCAACCAUUCGUUGGAUAUAUAAUGGUUUCUUUGAUUUCAAAAAUCUUUUUUUAUGUAAUAUAUGUCUGAAGACCAUCAAAAUAAAUUCUUAAAGUCAGAUUAAUAGGAUGUUACUUAUAAUAUUAUUGUAAUUAUUUGACCACAUAAUAGUUUAUGCCCAUUAUAUACUAUGUAAUUGUAUGAUGGAAAUAAUGCUGUACUUUGUUUGUAAAAGUUUAAUUAUCCUGACCUUUGUUCAUCAUAAAGAAUUGCUCCAUUUCUAUUAUUUAUCGAGGAAAAAAGUUUCUCUCUUUUUGUUUUUAAUAUGUCAUUAGGAGAAGAGUAGUUACACGUAGGCUAGAGUGUUUGCCAAGAAGAAAUUGAUUUUAAUGGGAACCUUUUAUCUAAGACAAACUUUAAGAAGAGCAGUAAUGGACAAUGUGUUCUGUGCAACUCUUCAGCCUUCAGUCUCACAUUCAUUGUGGUCAAGUAUUUUCAGCAAAGAAUAACAAGUCAGAGUUUGUGUAUAUUUUUCAUAGCUGUUCAUUCUCUUACAGAGUAACCUUGAACAAACCUCUUAAGAUUUGUGUUUUAUCUUCAUAUACUGAAAUACAAAAUGGGAAUGCCUAUAUUUAAUCAAAGAUAUAAUUUUUACUGAUAGAUAGUAAAGAACAAAACACUGGAACAAGAAUUCCUGUCCUGCCUUUCACAAUGUGGUUUUGAGGCCUUGGCCAUGUCACUUAAAUUCUCAUAUCUGUUUUCUCAAUCUAUAAAUGAUCAUAAUACCUGCACUAUCUGUCUCAAAUUGCAUAUGUGAAAGCAUCUUAAAGGUACAAAACAAUAAAUACAAAGCAUUAUUAUUAAAUUAUUACACCUUCCAGCAUUUAAUGCUAAAAAUGCCAAAUGCGUCCUUUGGUUAUAUGUAGGAAAUAUGUCUCAGAAAAAUCAAUUUAAAAUUAUAGAAGCUAACAGGUAAGUCAUUUUAAGUGUGUGGUUAUCUUCUGCAUGGCAGAUUUUUAAAUGGUAAUUAUUAAUGAAGUUUUCCUAUACUUACUGUUUCCAAGACUCCAUUCUUUCCAAAGUUUUCUGAGUUAUGCUUAUCAUCCCUUAAGUCUUAGGGAUGCUCUUCUGAGCUUUUGG